GAGAGAGGGAGUCUUGCUUCCUUGAUCGAGUGGCGAACGGGUGAGUAACGCGUGAGGAACCUGCCUCAAAGAGGGGGACAACAGUUGGAAACGACUGCUAAUACCGCAUAAGCCCACGACCCGGCAUCGGGAAGAGGGAAAAGGAGCAAUCCGCUUUGAGAUGGCCUCGCGUCCGAUUAGCUAGUUGGUGAGGUAACGGCCCACCAAGGCGACGAUCGGUAGCCGGACUGAGAGGUUGAACGGCCACAUUGGGACUGAGACACGGCCCAGACUCCUACGGGAGGCAGCAGUGGGGAAUAUUGCACAAUGGGGGAAACCCUGAUGCAGCGACGCCGCGUGGAGGAAGAAGGUCUUCGGAUUGUAAACUCCUGUUGUUGAGGAAGAUAAUGACGGUACUCAACAAGGAAGUGACGGCUAACUACGUGCCAGCAGCCGCGGUAAAACGUAGGUCACAAGCGUUGUCCGGAUUACUGGGUGUAAAGGGAGCGCAGGCGGGCGAUCAGUNNGGAAGUGAAAUCCAUGGGCUCAACCCAUGAACUGCUUUCAAAACUGGUCGUCUUGAGUAGUGCAGAGGUAGGCGGAAUUCCCGGUGUAGCGGUGGAAUGCGUAGAUAUCGGGAGGAACACCAGUGGCGAAGGCGGCCUACUGGGCACCAACUGACGCUGAGGCUCGAAGGUGUGGGUAGCAAACAGGAUUAGAUACCCUGGUAGUCCACACCGUAAACGAUGAUUACUAGGUGUUGGGAGAUUGACCCUCUCAGUGCCGCAGUUAACACAAUAAGUAAUCCACCUGGGGAGUACGACCGCAAGGUUGAAACUCAAAGGAAUUGACGGGGGCCCGCACAAGCAGUGGAGUAUGUGGUUUAAUUCGACGCAACGCGAAGAACCUUACCAAGUCUUGACAUCCCUUGACGAUGCUGGAAACAGUAUUUCUCUUCGGAGCAAGGAGACAGGUGGUGCAUGGUUGUCGUCAGCUCGUGUCGUGAGAUGUUGGGUUAAGUCCCGCAACGAGCGCAACCCUUAUGGUCAGUUACUACGCAAGAGGACUCUGGCCAGACUGCCGUUGACAAAACGGAGGAAGGUGGGGAUGACGUCAAAUCAUCAUGCCCUUUAUGACUUGGGCUACACACGUGCUACAAUGGCGUUAAACAAAGAGAAGCAAGACCGCGAGGUGGAGCAAAACUCAGAAACAACGUCCCAGUUCGGACUGCAGGCUGCAACUCGCCUGCACGAAGUCGGAAUUGCUAGUAAUCGUGGAUCAGCAUGCCACGGUGAAUACGUUCCCGGGCCU
RNAcentral lists this ribosomal RNA (1290 nucleotides) under uncultured bacterium. RNAcentral describes it as "bacterial SSU rRNA". It matches the Rfam family "Bacterial small subunit ribosomal RNA", at positions 69 to 1381 of the family's 1533-position model. The record is from RNAcentral.